GGAGGAAAAGAAACCAACAGGGAUUGCCUCAGUAACGGCGAGUGAAGCGGCAAAAGCUCAAAUUUUAAAGCUGACAUCUUCGGUGUCCGCGUUGUAAUUUUGUGAGGCAUCUCCGGGUAGGGCGCCGGCCUAAGUUCCUUGGAACAGGACGUCACAGAGGGUGAGAAUCCCGUGCUUGGCUGGCUGUCCCCGUCCAUGUGAGGUGUCUUCGACGAGUCGAGUUGUUUGGGAAUGCAGCUCAAAAUGGGUGGUAAAUUUCAUCUAAAGCUAAAUAUUGGUGGGAGACCGAUAGCGCACAAGUAGAGUGAUCGAAAGAUGAAAAGCACUUUGAAAAUAGAGUUAAAAAGUACGUGAAAUUGUUGAAAGGGAAGCGCUUGAGACCAGACUUCGGUAAGGGGUGAUCAGCCGUCCUUCUGGGCGGUGCACUUGCCCCCCUCCGGGCCAGCAUCGGUUGAGGCGGCGGGAUAAAGGUCCCGGGAAUGUGGCUCCUUCACGGGAGUGUUAUAGCCCGGGUGAAUGCCGCCAGCUUCGACCGAGGACCGCACCCGCAAGGGUUAGGAUGCUUGGCAUAAUGGUCUUCAGCGACCCGUCUG
RNAcentral lists this ribosomal RNA (593 nucleotides) under Morchella sp. RNAcentral's name for it is "partial large subunit ribosomal RNA". It matches the Rfam family "Eukaryotic large subunit ribosomal RNA", at positions 52 to 655 of the family's 3401-position model. The record is from RNAcentral. Lineage: Eukaryota; Fungi; Ascomycota; Pezizomycetes; Pezizales; Morchellaceae.